UGUAUGCGGGUUGGGUUGGACCGGAUUUGGCCUAAUCGGUUACCCAACCCGUUCAAUAUUUAUUGGGUUGGGUUCAUUAAAGUAAAAUAUAUAAACAUUAUAACAUAUAUGCAUAGUUGUCAAUCAUAAAAUUAUCAAACAUGAAUUAAAUUCAAUGAUUUAGAAUUAAAUAUUACCUUUUUGGGGUAAAUUUUAGUGCGGAAGCAACGUGAUGUGUCGCUUUCAUCUGCAGCUUGAUUCCUUUUAUAAUAAAAUUCAUGCAACAUUAAAGUAUGUGAAGAUGAUUAUUAGAUUCUUUGUGAAUUAAAAUUGGAAGUAUACUAA
Molecule: long non-coding RNA, 324 nt
Filed under: Trifolium pratense (red clover)
Lineage: Eukaryota; Viridiplantae; Streptophyta; Magnoliopsida; Fabales; Fabaceae
Description: long non-coding RNA (TPRA_LNC005518)
Source: RNAcentral